RNAcentral lists this ribosomal RNA (339 nucleotides) under Methylobacterium sp. R-25207. Its description in RNAcentral is "bacterial SSU rRNA". It matches the Rfam family "Bacterial small subunit ribosomal RNA", at positions 10 to 377 of the family's 1533-position model. The record is from RNAcentral. Lineage: Bacteria; Pseudomonadati; Pseudomonadota; Alphaproteobacteria; Hyphomicrobiales; Methylobacteriaceae.
AGUUUGAUCCUGGCUCAGAGCGAACGCUGGCGGCAGGCCUAACACAUGCAAGUCGAACGGUUCCUUCGGGGACAGUGGCAGACGGGUGAGUAACGCGUGGGAACGUGCCCUUUGGUUCGGAAUAACUCAGGGAAACUUGAGCUAAUACCGGAUACGUCCGAGAGGAGAAAGAUUUAUCGCCGAAGGAUCGGCCCGCGUCUGAUUAGCUAGUUGGUGGGGUAACGGCCUACCAAGGCGACGAUCAGUAGCUGGUCUGAGAGGAUGAUCAGCCACACUGGGACUGAGACACGGCCCAGACUCCUACGGGAGGCAGCAGUGGGGAAUAUUGGACAAUGGGCG